GAUGAACGCUAGCUACAGGCUUAACACAUGCAAGUCGAGGGGUAACGAGAGGAAAGCUUGCUUUCCUUGUCGACGACCGGCGCACGGGUGAGUAACGCAUAUCCAACCUGCCCCCAACUAGGGAAUAACCUUGCGAAAGUAAGACUAAUACCCUAUAAUUUCCUCAGAUGACAUCUGACGAGGAAUAAAGAUUUAUCGGUUGUGCAUGGGGAUGCGUCUGAUUAGCUUGUUGGCGGGGUAACGGCCCCACAAGGCAACGAUCAGUAGGGGUUCAGAGAGAAAGGACCCCCACAUUGGAACUGAGACACGGUCCAAACUGCUACGGGAGGCAGCAGUGAGGAAUAUUGGUCAAUGGGCGGAAGCCUGAACCAGCCAAGUAGCGUGCAGGAUGACGGCCCUAUGGGUUGUAAACUGCUUUUAUACAGGAAUAAAGUUAGCCACGUGUGGUUAUUUGUAGGUACUGUAUGAAUAAGGACCGGCUAAUUCCGUGCCAGCCGCCGCCGUAA
This 506-nucleotide ribosomal RNA is filed under the name uncultured bacterium. Its description in RNAcentral is "partial 16S ribosomal RNA". It matches the Rfam family "Bacterial small subunit ribosomal RNA", at positions 28 to 523 of the family's 1533-position model. The record is from RNAcentral.